UACGAAGGGUGCAAACGUUAUUCGGAAUCACUGGGCGUAAAGGGUGCGUAGAUGGUAUGUUAAGUUUGUUGUUAAAGCCUUCGGCCUAACCGAAGUAUUGCAAUGAAAACUGGCACGCUAGAGGGUGAGAGAGAAGUGGAAUUCCCGGAGUAGCGGUAAAAUGCGUGGAUCUCGGGAGGAACACCAAUGGCGAAGGCAGCUUCUUGGCUCAUUCCUGACAUUGAGGCACGAAAGCGUGGGGAGCAAACAGG
This 251-nucleotide ribosomal RNA is filed under the name uncultured bacterium. RNAcentral describes it as "partial 16S ribosomal RNA". It matches the Rfam family "Bacterial small subunit ribosomal RNA", at positions 524 to 776 of the family's 1533-position model. The record is from RNAcentral.